AAAGCUCUUGCCCCUUGCAAAGCCAAAGCAAAGGCCUUGAUUUGCCUAAGAAGGCAGUCACAGCCGCAAAAAGAAGAUCCGCAUAUCACCCACCUCUUGGCAGACCAAGACUCUGCAGCUCUGGAGGCAGCGUAAAUACCCUCAAAGGAAUGAACCCAGGAGACACAAGCUUGAGAACCAUGCCGUCAUCAAAUUCCCUCUAACCACCGGGUUAGCCUCUCGAGAAGAUAGAGGACAACGACAUGCUCUUGUUCACUGUGGAUGUCAAGGUCAACAAGCACCAGACCAAACAGGCCGUGAAGAAACUCUAUGACAUUGAUGUGGCCAAAGUCAAUACCCCGUAAGGCCUGAUGGACAGAAGAAGGUGUACGUAGUAGGUCCGCUUGGCUCCCAAUUAUGAUGCUCUGGAUGUUGUCAGGAAGACUGGGGUCAUCUAA
This 437-nucleotide long non-coding RNA is filed under the name Mus musculus (house mouse). RNAcentral describes it as "long non-coding RNA chr4:32149785-32150222". The record is from RNAcentral. Lineage: Eukaryota; Metazoa; Chordata; Mammalia; Rodentia; Muridae.